Long non-coding RNA from Pseudophryne corroboree (corroboree frog), 198 nucleotides. RefSeq lists it as uncharacterized. The transcript is spliced from 4 exons. Lineage: Eukaryota; Metazoa; Chordata; Amphibia; Anura; Myobatrachidae. The record is from RefSeq and is a predicted model, not a curated record.
GCCCUACACUGGAACAGGCCACGGAGGAGGAGGAGGAUGAUGAUGAUGCUGCUGCAUUUAGUGACGACGAGCCAGAAUACAUUUUUGUCCGUCGCCAACCAGUGGAGGAGACACCUGUGCCAAUUAUUUAUGGGGGCCCCAGACAGGGGCAAGAUAGGUGGGCUGGCCCAGAAGCGGGCAGGCAGCAGCCCACUUAUA